RNAcentral lists this ribosomal RNA (229 nucleotides) under Vibrio parahaemolyticus. Its description in RNAcentral is "partial 16S ribosomal RNA". It matches the Rfam family "Bacterial small subunit ribosomal RNA", at positions 1 to 218 of the family's 1533-position model. The record is from RNAcentral. Lineage: Bacteria; Pseudomonadati; Pseudomonadota; Gammaproteobacteria; Vibrionales; Vibrionaceae.
AAAUUGAAGAGUUUGAUCAUGGCUCAGAUUGAACGCUGGCGGCAGGCCUAACACAUGCAAGUCGAGCGGAAACGAGUUAUCAGAACCUUCGGGGAACGAUAACGGCGUCGAGCGGCGGACGGGUGAGUAAUGCCUAGGAAAUUGCCCUGAUGUGGGGGAUAACCAUUGGAAACGAUGGCUAAUACCGCAUGAUGCCUACGGGCCAAAGAGGGGGACCUUCGGGCCUCUC